AAACAAAAGAAGAGUGUUUAUAAGAGUGACUCAGCAGUGCUUUUGCACUGAGUGAUUAAAACAAGUGAUUAGUAUAGAAAGAAAAUGAAAAUAAUUCAAUAAUGUGAUAAAGUUUAAACAUGUAUUCCUCUUGUUAAGUUGGCUGUUGAGCUGUGGGUUUAUGCAAAUUAGCUGGAGUGAGUGAGUGACAAAGACACUUCCUGUGUGCGUGUGUGUCGGAGGCUUUCGGUUCAGUUCAAGAGAGAGCAGUGGCUGUUGAAGAGUAUUGGGAGAAAUAUAUAAUGGCCUGGAAGAGAGUGAACGGACGGCGCUGACAAAAUUACCAAGAAAUUCCAAGGAUCCAGAGUUCAAUGGAGCAACGAGUUGGAGAAGAUUUGACAUGAUGAUUAAAUUGAUUUUGUUCUUUAAACACAGGUUUUCAGGGCUAAAGCAAAACACCGGAGAGGAGAAUUGCUGAGCGGUUCUGGGAAAUGAAAUGACUAACCUUUUUUCCUUUUAAUUUGUUAAGCUUGGGUGGAGAUGUUGAGUUUUUUGCCACAUGAGAUGUGUCAAAAAGAGAGGGAUUUAAGAUUUAAUUUGUUUAAUGUGAAAGGGUUUUACUAGGAUUUUAUAAUGAUUGGGGUUGUUUGAUAAUUUAGAUAUGGUAAAACUGAGGCAGAGAUUGUUAAUUCUAAAGAAAGGAGUAAAAUGAACUGAAUUCUGUUUAGAAGAUAAAUUGCUGGGGUUAAAAAGAAGUUGUACACCAAAUUAAAGGGGAAAUUGUGGGAAUAAAGGAUAUGCUUUGGGGAAAAUAGUGAACAUUUUAUGAGUAGAAAAUGUGGGAUUUUUCUUUUGAUUUUUAGGAUAAGUGGUAACAGUGACAUAAUGUUAGAAUGUUGUUAUUUUUAGGGUAGUGGAGAGCUUUUUAUGAGGA
Molecule: long non-coding RNA, 913 nt
Organism: Oreochromis aureus
Lineage: Eukaryota; Metazoa; Chordata; Actinopteri; Cichliformes; Cichlidae
Source: Ensembl